RNAcentral lists this transfer RNA (82 nucleotides) under Petromyzon marinus (sea lamprey). Its description in RNAcentral is "tRNA-Ser (CGA) (tRNA-Ser-CGA-11-1)". It matches the Rfam family "tRNA". Rfam says of the family: Transfer RNA (tRNA) molecules are approximately 80 nucleotides in length. Their secondary structure includes four short double-helical elements and three loops (D, anti-codon, and T loops). The record is from RNAcentral. Lineage: Eukaryota; Metazoa; Chordata; Hyperoartia; Petromyzontiformes; Petromyzontidae.
GUCAUGGUGGCCGAGUGGUUAAGGCGUUGGACUCGAAAUCCAAUAAAGUCUCCCUGCACAGGUUCAAAUCCUGUCCAUGACG